GAUGCAGAUACUCCUCCGGGUCCAGCGUUACCAGUUCCGGCUCCAGCACCGCUUCCAGUACCUUCAUAAAGAAAAUUUAUAAGUUUAUGAAAGUUUCGAGACUUGGCUGACAAAAAAACUUACCGAGUUGGGGGAAUGCGAAGGUACCACCAAUAGGACGGAUUGGACGGUUUCCUGCGAACUGAGGCCUAGCAACAGCAACGGCCAAGAGAAGAGCGAGAACCAAAGUAACCUGACGUGAUACGUAAGAUGAAAAUUACAGGUGGUGUCUGCGUGUGGUGUUUGGAUGGAGUUUCGCGUGAGAAAAAGAAGCGUUCAUUCGGCGUUUCAAUCAGAUUGGAAUGUUGG
This is a long non-coding RNA of Daphnia pulicaria, 348 nucleotides long. RefSeq lists it as uncharacterized. The record is from RefSeq and is a predicted model, not a curated record. The transcript has 2 exons. NCBI's taxonomy places the organism in Eukaryota, Metazoa, Arthropoda, Branchiopoda, Diplostraca, Daphniidae.